AUUAGCUAGUUGGCGAGGUAAUGGCUCACCAAGGCUACGAUCGGUAGCUGGUCUGAGAGGAUGAUCAGCCACACUGGAACUGAAACACGGUCCAGACUCCUACGGGAGGCAGCAGUGAGGAAUAUUGCGCAAUGGGGGAAACCCUGACGCAGCAACGCCGCGUGGGUGAAGAAGGCCUUCGGGUCGUAAACGGCUAACUCCGUGCCAGCAGCCGCGGUAAUACGGAGGGUGCGAGCGUUGUUCGGAAUUACUGGGCGUAAAGCGCGUGUAGGCGGCCUUGCAAGUCAGGCGUGAAAGCCCUCGGCUUAACCGGGGAAGUGCGUCUGAAACUGCUUGGCUUGAGUACGGGAGAGGGAGGCGGAAUUCCCAGUGUAGAGGUGAAAUUCGUAGAUAUUGGGAGGAACACCGGUGGCGAAAGCGGCCUCCUGGACCGAUACUGACGCUGAGACGCGAAAGCGUGGGUAGCAAACAGGAUUAGAUACCCUGGUAGUCCACGCGGUAAACGAUGGGCACUAGGUGUGGGGGGUAUCCACUCCUCCCGUGCCGAAGCUAACGCAUUAAGUGCCCCGCCUGGGGAGUACGGCCGCAAG
This 590-nucleotide ribosomal RNA is filed under the name uncultured bacterium. RNAcentral's name for it is "bacterial SSU rRNA". It matches the Rfam family "Bacterial small subunit ribosomal RNA", at positions 240 to 892 of the family's 1533-position model. The record is from RNAcentral.